AGAGUUUGAUCCUGGCUCAGAACGAACGCUGGCGGCGCGCCUAAUACAUGCAAGUCGAGCGAGAAGGUGUAGCAAUACACUUGUAAAGCGGCGAACGGGUGAGGAAUACAUGGGUAAUCUACCAUCGAGUGGGGAAUAACCAGCCGAAAGGUUGGCUAAUACCGCGUACGCCUCCGGAUCUUCGGGUUCGGAGGGAAAGCCACACUGUGAGUGCGGCGCUCUUUGAUGAGCUCAUGUCCUAUCAGCUUGUUGGUAGGGUAACGGCCUACCAAGGCUUUGACGGGUAGCUGGUCUGAGAGGACGAUCAGCCACACUGGCACUGCGACACGGGCCAGACUCCUACGGGAGGCAGCAGUAAGGAAUAUUGCGCAAUGGGCGAAAGCCUGACGCAGCGACGCCGCGUGGGGGAUGAAGGUCUUCGGGUUGUAAACCCCUUUCGGGAGGGAAGAUGGAGCGAGCAAUCGUUCGGACGGUACCUCCAGAAGCAGCCACGGCCAACUUCGUGCCAGCAGCCGCGGUAAUACGAAGGUGGCAAGCGUUGUUCGGAUUCACUGGGCGUACAGGGUGUGUAGGCGGUUUGGUAAGCCUUCUGUUAAAGCUUCGGGC
RNAcentral lists this ribosomal RNA (606 nucleotides) under uncultured bacterium. RNAcentral's name for it is "bacterial SSU rRNA". It matches the Rfam family "Bacterial small subunit ribosomal RNA", at positions 8 to 608 of the family's 1533-position model. The record is from RNAcentral.